RNAcentral lists this long non-coding RNA (731 nucleotides) under Brassica napus (rape). RNAcentral's name for it is "long non-coding RNA (BNAP_LNC000479)". The record is from RNAcentral. Lineage: Eukaryota; Viridiplantae; Streptophyta; Magnoliopsida; Brassicales; Brassicaceae.
CAUGUUUGCGUUCUAAUUUACUUUAGUAUCUGUAGGUCAUAUUUUGUGUUUAUAUCAAGUUAGAUAUGACAUGAUUUAAACUCAUUGAAAAUUUAAGAUCUAUAUUUGCAAUUUAUGUAUUUAAAUAUGUAAUUUAGUUUGUUAUUCUUAAUAGAUAAUGCAUCUGUUCCCAAAAUACAAAUAUUAAAAAUGUUAGAAAUUAUAACGAUGUUUUUAAUGAUGUUUGGUUUUUAGGUGGUUGUAUUUAUUGUUUAUUCAAAUAAAAUCUAAAUAUUAUACAAAUCUAUCAUGAAUAUCACAACAAGGCAGAUCUAUAGUUUGGGGCUAAUCCCACAAACCUAUCUGAACCCUGGAUCUAACAGGUGGAUCUACUCAGACAUGAAAACAGAAAUCAUAGAUGAAUAGAUAUAAAACUGAAAUGCAAUAGAUCAAUAAAACCAAAAGAGUUCCAGGAGGACUCUGAUAGGAGUUCCUCGUUAAAAAAAUUGUGAUACAAAUAAAGAAUAGAUGAAUUGUAAUGUAGGUUAAUUUUUUAAAAAAAUAUGAAUAAUUUUGUUUUGACCCCACUAAAAAAUAUUUUUGGCUCCGCCACUGCUUAUAACCCUAAUGCCUUGAUAUCUUCUCUCAGAAAACACACAUCUUUCUUAGGUUACCACUCUCUUUAUAUAUCAUGGCUCGUAAAAAUUUUUCAAAAUCUUCUUUCCAUAUCUUUUUCCAUUUUCCAUAACCAC